UUCGAGCAGUCGCUGAAAGUCGUCGAUCCAAAGUCUUUCGCCUAAGAUAUCGCGGAAAAGAUAGUCGACUCCAAGUUCUCACAGCGAUCUGUCUACUCGUAUCGCACGGCCUGAAUAGCUAAUCGCACACGUAUUGAAUUUAAGUGCGGGUAUAUUAUUCUUAAGUUCCUUAUUGUUCGAGAGGUCCGUCAACUGCCGAUCGUGCUCCGCUCGCGACCAUUCUUCUGCCACGCGUUCAAGUUCAAGAUCUCCGCUCGUCGCGGAGAUUUCCGUGCCGCGUGAAGCUUCAAGGACGAGGCUUUCUCAAGAUCUCCGUACGCGAUAUCUUAGGCAGCGAGAAAGGACGGAUUAGAAGAUCUCCGUAUUCGCGGUGCAGGAUUCGUCGUUCCCCCUCGAGGUGCUAAUAAAAGGCAAUUGUGCAAAUCUGUGUUUUACGAGUGCUUUCCACCACCUCUCCCUCCCGCGAGUAGGGAUUCGUGCUACACACGCUUCGCGCUGUAGCUCAGGACGACAAUUCGAAGCCCGAACAAUAAUUAGUCGACAAAGUAAGGAGGCGGAAGGUGUGCGAAGGUGCAGCUAGUGCAACAGGUGCAGCAUCGGCGGGUGCGGGGCGGGUGGAGCGUGAAGUCGGCCGCGCAAUUUUCGGGGACUCUCUCCCAGAUUCGUCCGUUACGUUAAUCUACGAGACGCGAUCGUCGAGCGGCCCGUACAUACGUACACAUACGUAUUAUACUCGUGUUAUUCUAUUCCCGUCGCAACAAAACGACGCGUCGGAUACAGUGAUGUCGAUUUAAGACGCGAAUCACGGAUUUUUUUCCCUCCCCUACAGAGCAUCUUGUGCGUGUAGUCUGGCGUCAGUGGUCGAGUGUGCCGUUGAAAAGUGUUGCGAUCCGCCACAGCAUAGACACGUAGGUAUGUUCACUCCGUGUCGGCGCCUUUGAGCUGAAGUGAAAUGGUCGGUCGUGAUAUUUGUGAAAAUCGUAUGAUCGUAUGUCUGUCCUUCUUCGACGUUCAUGGAAAAGGACAGACAUACGAUCUCUCUCUCUCUCUCCUUCUCCGUUUCAUUGACCGCCAUAUUGUUGAGUGUGCGGAACCAUUUCAGUCAUUUCACGGGUUUCGGCGGGAGGGGCGGGAGUGUACAUACUGUAUCUACUUAUACUGGGAGCUUCCCAGAAGCGAUCCAAGUCGACACAAGUGUCGUUUUGCCUUCGUUCCUCAUUGCUAACAAAGAAAGAUAGAACGACGUUUGUGUUGACUUGUGUCGCUUGCUGGAAAGCUCCCAUCGCGGCAUCGUGACUCGCGUCGGAUUCCAACGGUUAAUUCGCGCGCGAUUACAACCUCGCCGCGAAGAAUGCUGUGCCCCACGGAGGAGCGGCAUCGGGAUCGUCCUCGGUCAGUGGUCUCGGGUGUGCCGUGAAAAGUGUUGCGACUCCGCGUUCUAUUCCGAUGGUUAAUUCGCGCGCGAUUAACCUCGCCGCGAAGAGUGUGUGCGUCACGGAGGAGCAGCAUCGGGAUCGUCCUCAGUCAGCGGUCGGGUGUGCCGUGAAAAGUCGGGAAUGCCGUGAAAAGUGUCGCGACUCCGCGUGGUAUUCCGAUGGUUAAUUCGCGCGCGAUUAACCUCGCCGCGAAGAGUGUGUGCGUCACGGAGGAGCAGCAUCGACGGGAGCUGAGAGCUGAGAGGAGGAGGAGGCCCGGGGAGGCAUCAGGCGUCGGCGAAUCAACCCAAGGAUCAACGUCUACAAUUUCGCUGCUGCGCAUCGUGUGUCUGUGAGUAAAAUUAUUUGAUUUCUUUUUAUUUGAUUAUUUGAGUUCUUUGAUUUCUGUAGAAUUGGCCACUGAUUUAAAAUUUGUUUCAAGGAUUUAUUAUUGUUCAUUGCCAUUCUUAUAGUUGAAUAGGAAUCUUCUAAAUGUUUAUAGAAACUCUCAUCUGUUUCAUUUAUUGUAUUCAAGGAAGUUUUUAAAUUGUCCUUAUUCAAAAUCGCUUCGUUAGGUUGUGGGUCCCAAUUACAACAGCCGCUUGUAAUGUUUGCCAUUUUUUUUUAUUGUUUUCCUGGAAUUUUUCCAGCUGUGAUGGAUUUUCGUUUGAACGGCCUAUUUAAAUAAUUGUUACGUUUAAUGAGUUUCAUUGUUAAGGUAAAGCAUCCAUCUCCUGUAACGACGUUGUCAGAAUCGAUGUCUUUGAAUAUUGGAUAUCGCUCACGUAACUUAUUAGCUAUAAUUUUAAAAGCACUCAUUGGAAUUUUGGUCUUAAUAUUGCGCAUUUCAUCUACAAUAGUAUGUACAACUUGUGUUUGGAUACGUCUACGUCGUUCAAGUCAUGUCUUAGCAGCUUCGCCGUCAGUUUCUAAAAUCUCUAAAGGUACUGGUUUAUCAAUUUCAUCUUUUACAUCAUUGGUAAAUUUUUCAAACGGUAUCUUUCCAAAUAAUUUCAUAAUUUGUUUGUAAAUUAUUUGAUGGCUCGUAGGUAGGAGCAUCGGUACACUGAGAGAAAUGUCUGGUGACGCUAUCCAGAAUUCAGGAU
Molecule: long non-coding RNA, 2521 nt
Organism: Temnothorax curvispinosus
Lineage: Eukaryota; Metazoa; Arthropoda; Insecta; Hymenoptera; Formicidae
Exons: 3
Source: RefSeq, a predicted model, not a curated record